RNAcentral lists this ribosomal RNA (832 nucleotides) under Pleurotheciella fusiformis. RNAcentral describes it as "partial large subunit ribosomal RNA". It matches the Rfam family "Eukaryotic large subunit ribosomal RNA", at positions 70 to 934 of the family's 3401-position model. The record is from RNAcentral. Lineage: Eukaryota; Fungi; Ascomycota; Sordariomycetes; Pleurotheciales; Pleurotheciaceae.
AGGGAUUGCCUCAGUAACGGCGAGUGAAGCGGCAACAGCCCAGAUUUGAAAUCUGACUUUCGGGUCCGACUUGUAAUCUGCAGAUGAGUCUUUUGACGGAGCGCCGUCCAAGUUCCCUGGAACGGGACGCCGGAGAGGGUGAGAGCCCCGUACCGACGUGCGCCGAGUCUUUGCAAAGCUCAUUCGAAGAGUCGAGUAGUUUGGAAAUGCUGCUCUAAUUGUGGGGUAAAUCUCCCAUAAGGCUAAAUACUGGCCAGAGACCGAUAGCGCACAAGUAGCGUGAGCGAAAGAUGAAAAGAGCCUUGAACAAGGGCGUCAAAAAGCAUGUGAAAUUGUUAUGGGGGAAGCGCUCAAUGCCAGACGUGGCGGCGGUUGGUUACCCAGUGUUCUUCACUGGCGCACUCUUCCGUCGCCAGGCCAGCAUCAGUUCGGUCCGGGGCUUACUUCCGCUCGGAACGUGGCUCUUCGGAGUGUUAUAGCCCUGCGGCGACGCCCUGGGCCGGACUGAGGAACGCGCAUCUGCCCGGAUGCUGGCGUAAUGGCUUUUAGCGACCCGUCUUGAAACACGGACCAAGGAGUUGACCUAGUAUGCGAGUGUUUGGGUGUCAAGCCCUCACGCGCAGUGAAAGCGAACGCAGGUGGGAGCCUCGGCGCACCAUCGACCGAUCCUGAAGUUUACGGAUGGAUUUGAGUAGGAGCAUACUGGGUCUGACCCGAAAGAAGGUGAACUAUGCAUGAAUAGGGUGAAGCCAGAGGAAACUCUGGUGGAGGCUCGCAGCGGUUCUGACGUGCAAAUCGAUCGUCAAAUUUGUGCAUGGGGGCGAAAGACCAA